UGGUUCUGGCAUCGAUGAAGAACGCAGCGAAAUGCGAUAAGUAAUGUGAAUUGCAGAAUUCAGUGAAUCAUCGAAUCUUUGAACGCACAUUGCGCCCGCUAGUAUUCUGGCGGGCAUGCCUGUUCGAGCGUCAUUACAACCCUCAAGUAUAUAUAUUUCAGUAUGUAAUAUAUCUUGGUGUUGGGGCACUACGGUUCUUGUAGGCCUUGAAAAUCAGUGGCAGGCUCGCUAUAACUCCGAGCGUAGUAGUAUCACCUCGCUAAGGACAUGUAGCGGGUUCUCGCCGUUAAAAACCCCUCUUUCUACAGAAGGUUGACCUCGGAUCAGGUAGGAAUACCCGCUGA
Molecule: unclassified non-coding RNA, 344 nt
Filed under: uncultured fungus
Lineage: Eukaryota; Fungi
Description: partial contains 5.8S ribosomal RNA and internal transcribed spacer 2
Rfam family: 5.8S ribosomal RNA (bases 1-133)
Source: RNAcentral